RNAcentral lists this ribosomal RNA (261 nucleotides) under uncultured Sneathia sp. Its description in RNAcentral is "partial 16S ribosomal RNA". It matches the Rfam family "Bacterial small subunit ribosomal RNA", at positions 96 to 354 of the family's 1533-position model. The record is from RNAcentral. Lineage: Bacteria; Fusobacteriati; Fusobacteriota; Fusobacteriia; Fusobacteriales; Leptotrichiaceae.
UGGCGGACGGGUGAGUAACGUGUAAAGAACUUACCAUAUAGACUGGGAUAACAGAGGGAAACUUAUGAUAAUACUGGAUAAGUUAGUAGUAGCAUUACUAAGUAAUGAAAGGUAGCAAUACGCUAUAUGAGAGCUUUGCAUCCUAUUAGCUAGUUGGUGGGGUAAAAGCCUACCAAGGCGAUGAUAGGUAGCCGGCCUGAGAGGGUGGACGGCCACAAGGGGACCGAGAUACGGCCCUUACUCCUACGGGAGGCAGCAGGC